GCGUGAAGUACAUAUGUCUAUGGCGUGAAUUGUCAAUUUUUGUUGGUGUAAUAAUUUCAUUGUAACAUUUUUCUAAAGUGGGAAAACCAUACUUUCCGCGGACUCGAAAAAGGGCCUCGCAAACUCUAGUACUGACACUGGCUGUACACGGAACACCAAGAAAACCUUAAUGUCAGAGAAGUAUUGAACGUAACAACCAGAACGUCAAAAAUAUUCUUUUAGCAUGGAUGAGAAAUACAACUAUAAAGGUUCACGCACAUUGCCGCGGUAACGGUGGCGAUGACUGCGACGGUUAGGUAUCUCUGCCCAUGCAUACGGGUACACUGUAUUGCAAAGAUUUUCAUUAAUAUUUAUGAA
Long non-coding RNA from Sipha flava (yellow sugarcane aphid), 357 nucleotides. RefSeq lists it as uncharacterized. The record is from RefSeq and is a predicted model, not a curated record. The transcript has 4 exons. Lineage: Eukaryota; Metazoa; Arthropoda; Insecta; Hemiptera; Aphididae.